RNAcentral lists this ribosomal RNA (484 nucleotides) under uncultured bacterium. Its description in RNAcentral is "partial 16S ribosomal RNA". It matches the Rfam family "Bacterial small subunit ribosomal RNA", at positions 30 to 507 of the family's 1533-position model. The record is from RNAcentral.
AUUGAACGCUGGCGGAAUGCUUUACACAUGCAAGUCGAGCGGCAGCACGGGGGCAACCCUGGUGGCGAGCGGCGAACGGGUGAGUAAUACAUCGGAACAUGCCCAGUCGUGGGGGAUAACACUUCGAAAGAAGUGCUAAUACCGCAUACGUCCUGAGGGAGAAAGCGGGGGAUCGCAAGACCUCGCGCGAUUGGAGUGGCCGAUGUCAGAUUAGCUAGUUGGUGGGGUAAAGGCCUACCAAGGCAACGAUCUGUAGCUGGUCUGAGAGGAUGAUCAGCCACACUGGGGCUGAGACACGGCCCAGACUCCUACGGGAGGCAGCAGUGGGGAAUUUUGGACAAUGGGGGCAACCCUGAUCCAGCCAUUCCGCGUGAGUGAAGAAGGCCUUCGGGUUGUAAAGCUCUUUCGGCAGGAACGAAACGGCGAGCUCUAACAUAGCUUGCUAAUGACGGUACCUGAAGAAGAAGCACCGGCUAACUACGUG